UGUCAGACCGGGGGUGUUCCCGACCCGGACCCUGGCAUAAUCUAGGGGACUAAACCAUUCGGCCCGGUCACGGGGUCGGAUGGGAAACCAAACAGUGACUGGGCCCGUCGGCGACUUGUUCGCGUGAUCGCCGGGGCCGAGAAAAUCGCAGCGAACUGCACACGGAGAAGCCCUGAUUCCGCACCGUUGGACGCGGGUUCGAUUCCCGCCAUCUCCACUC
RNAcentral lists this transfer-messenger RNA (220 nucleotides) under Streptomyces sp. RNAcentral's name for it is "partial transfer-messenger RNA". It matches the Rfam family "transfer-messenger RNA", at positions 141 to 374 of the family's 374-position model. Rfam says of the family: Bacterial tmRNA, also known as 10Sa RNA or SsrA, is named for its dual tRNA and mRNA-like properties. Lineage: Bacteria; Bacillati; Actinomycetota; Actinomycetes; Kitasatosporales; Streptomycetaceae. The record is from RNAcentral.